This is a long non-coding RNA of Engraulis encrasicolus (European anchovy), 559 nucleotides long. RefSeq lists it as uncharacterized. The record is from RefSeq and is a predicted model, not a curated record. The transcript has 2 exons. NCBI's taxonomy places the organism in Eukaryota, Metazoa, Chordata, Actinopteri, Clupeiformes, Engraulidae.
AGGCUCUAAUUGAUUAGCCAACAAGGUGUGUGUGCACGCGCCUAUAAAUUCUUGCCACAAGGUUUGGUCCUCAACUGGAUUUUACUCAGUCCCACACACAUUUGUGCCUUGAAGGGGCCAGAGGGACUUUUUAUUAUUAAAAACUCGUUUUAAUCAGGACCAGAGUACGGCGGUCAAAAUGAAGGUAUCCAGAGCUUCAGCAGAAAAGCGCAGGAUAUCAUUUCAAAAUGCCAGGAGGCGUUUGGGACUUGGGGUUGUUGGCCGUGAACAUCCGCUAGGCGUUCAUCAGCGAAUCGUGCAACACGGAGUGAUUGAUUUACAAGUGGACCGCAGACGUAUUCGUAUCGGACUACUCCUGGACCGCUUCUACUUUGCCAUUUUAAGCAGGACGGCAAAUCAACACCGCCGCAAUAUUUGUGCUGGUGGUUAAGAAUUUGGACUUGGAUUUUAACGCACUUUUUGUCAUUGUUUGGAAUAUUUUAAAUGCCCCUUUGUCAUUGUUUUGUGAACAUGAUAAACACUGAAUUUAAUAAUAAAAAAAAUGAUUUUACAAACCUUA